UUCUCUUCAAAAUGUUUAUUUAUUGUCCUAAUGUGUCUGCUAUUUAUCCUGUUGUUCCUCCGGGCUGGGAAAACCAGGCAUUCUUCUGUUGGUUCAUGUGCUUCGUCCUACAUCCAAAGGCCACAAGAAGAAUCCAAAACAGCUCAUGUCAAACUGUGGACCGUGUUUUCAGAUAUGUGCAGAUGCAAGCCAGUGUUGAAGCCUUCCUCAUUGCCGUGCAACCAGGACAGUCCUUUCUCCUGCAUGUUGGUGAAAACAAGAGCAGCACCAAAGACACUUCAAGAUCAUCCAAGACUUGGUUUAUUACAGUCCCCGUGGCAAGCAGUUUUCUGCAUGGUCAGCAUUGAAGGCCAUAUUGUCUUUGAGGGGGUCCAGCUGACAUUCCAGACAGGACAGCGUUGUCCAUCUUCUACAUCUUCAACCUCCAAUGAGGCAGCCAAGACUUUGGAGUUCAUUCAACUUCGCUUCAUUGAGAUUAACCCAGAAAGGAGCACAAAAGCCGGUCAUGGGAAGAUGGUAUCCAAAAAGACUGGAAAGACAAUUCAAAAGAAAAAGUGACAGUCAAUGUUCAGGUUUCCACCCUCAUCAAAAACUUGAUGGACUUUGAGUGGCAUCUCAUUCAGUAAGUGCCGCUUGGACUCUUGAAAACCAUUAAUAGUUCACAUUUUAAAACCCUGUUAAUACUAGAAUUCCACAUUAUUUCAGCCAUGUUGAAUUUUAGAUUUUGGAAGACCUUUUUCAUUGAUUGCGCUUCACAUAAAUUAGGGUUAGGGAUGUGAUACAUCCUCUUCAGGAUUAAAUACGGUACAGCUACUGUGCAUUUACAGUAAACUACAUCUUCUUCUGUGUUAUGUGAAGUUCUGAUUAUGCAGAUUAUGCAUUUUAGAACCGCACCAAUUGUAGCACUUCCAAGAAGCUUACACUGGGUUAGGUAUUAAUGUUUUAUGGUAAAACUAAGACUGUACUUUAAAAAGUAGCAUUACAGUUUUCUUAGCAAUAGCUUACUCAUAAAGUGAAUGUAGUAGUAAAACUAAAUUCACAGUAAAAAUACUGGAACGCCAGUAUUUGAAGGUAUAUUUACUUUCACCACUGUAUUUUACGGUGGCCAACAGGUACAAACACUCAGCAAAGACGAGAAAAACACAUGCAACAAAAAAGAGAUGCAAACAAAAAAUGCUGAAAACAGAAGUGAUCCAGAACACUUGGGGGAGUCGAACAAAGAACAGCUGUGUCCGAAGUCAGGUUUUGCAUCUUUGGGUCCUCGACGACCGGAAGAAAAGCUGUAACUUACUUUUUUUUUUUUUUUUUUUUUAGCCUCUACCGUGGCGUUAUGUUGCUUAGUAACCGUGACAACGCGUAUCACACAGCGACAAAGGGGAAAAAAACGGGCUCGGAGUAUGGUUUUUUUCUUUCCUGAUUUCUCCAUUACUCUUCAUUUUUGUAACACGUAUAACACAUUUACACAAGGAAUGUAAGCAAAGAAUCCUUUUUCAAAUACUCUCCAAAUCUCAGGUAAGACAAUAUAGUUUAAUAAAACUAUUAUGUUUUUAGGCUUAACUUUAAUCAGUCAAACCGAUUUGCUCAGCAAUAAAUGAAAUAUUUUAGUGAACCUAAAUAUACCAACUAGAUGUUACCUGACUUAAUAUMUGUGUUUAACUGUCAUUUGGGAAAGCCUAAAUGAGUCAGGUGUUCUCCCUUGGUAUGCUAAACCUGGACCAGCUGGCAGCAGGCGAGGGGAGCUGGGUGUUAAUACAGUGGGAGCAGACGUCACCGAAAAUGUCGGACAGAUAUUGCAAUUAGGUGAUGCACUGAUGAACCGAGCAGAAAUGUGAGAUUUAUAUAUCUACAUUCUCGCCUACAAACAUCGUUUAAAUCAUGCUGUGUCACGGCUGCUAAGCAACAUAACGCCGAGGUGGAGGCUAGGCAGCUAGCUGAAGGCUACAGCUUCUGUGCAAUGCUCUCUGCCUUCGCAGGACCCCUCUUCCGUAGACAGGGUCGUUUUUCAAGCCCAUGAAAGAAUGAGAGGACGGCAGGGGGCGCUGGCGGACAUUUUUACAAAAGUGGGGCGGUGGGAUUCCUUUGUGGGGCGUUUGGUCGAAGGUAAACUUUACACCUUAAAUGCACAACAAUGCCACUUUAGACUUUGAGCAAUUUGG
Non-coding RNA from Poecilia reticulata (guppy), 2156 nucleotides. NCBI's taxonomy places the organism in Eukaryota, Metazoa, Chordata, Actinopteri, Cyprinodontiformes, Poeciliidae. The record is from RefSeq and is a predicted model, not a curated record.